RNAcentral lists this ribosomal RNA (507 nucleotides) under uncultured Glomus. RNAcentral describes it as "SSU rRNA". It matches the Rfam family "Eukaryotic small subunit ribosomal RNA", at positions 570 to 1078 of the family's 1831-position model. Lineage: Eukaryota; Fungi; Glomeromycota; Glomeromycetes; Glomerales; Glomeraceae. The record is from RNAcentral.
GCAGCCGCGGUAAUUCCAGCUCCAAUAGCUUAUAUUAAAGUUGUUGCAGUUAAAAAGCUCGUAGUUGAAUUUCGGGAUCAAUUAAUUGGUCGUGCCUCUGGUACGUACUGAUUUUAUUGGUUUCUCCCUUCUGACGAACCAUGAUGUCAUUAAUUUGAUGUCGUGGAGAAUCAGGACUGUUACUUUGAAAAAAUUAGAGUGUUUAAAGCAAGCUAACGCUUGAAUACAUUAGCAUGGAAUAAUGAAAUAGGACGUUUGAUCCUAUUUUGUUGGUUUCUAGGAUCGACGUAAUGAUUAAUAGGGAUAGUUGGGGGCAUUAGUAUUCAAUUGUCAGAGGUGAAAUUCUUGGAUUUAUUGAAGACUAACUACUGCGAAAGCAUUUGCCAAGGAUGUUUUCAUUAAUCAAGAACGAAAGUUAGGGGAUCGAAGACGAUCAGAUACCGUCGUAGUCUUAACCAUAAAAUAUGCCGACUAGGGAUCGGAUGAUGUUAAUUUUUUAAUGACUCA